AGGGUGCUAGUUUAAAAUAAAACAACUGAUUUCGGCUCAGUAAACUACGAUUUAUAGCCGUAAUACCCUU
This 70-nucleotide transfer RNA is filed under the name Cryptobatrachus sp. TNHC-GDC 451. RNAcentral describes it as "tRNA-Arg". It matches the Rfam family "tRNA". From Rfam's summary of the family: Transfer RNA (tRNA) molecules are approximately 80 nucleotides in length. Their secondary structure includes four short double-helical elements and three loops (D, anti-codon, and T loops). The record is from RNAcentral. Lineage: Eukaryota; Metazoa; Chordata; Amphibia; Anura; Hemiphractidae.